CGACGUUCUAAACAUAUUGUAAUGUUAACUUGUUGGAAUAGGAAAGACGAAUACCCAAUUUUUCAAGAAGAAGAAAACGAAAAGCGUAGUUUAUUUUGGAUUUUAAAGAUAGAAAACGAAAAAGCUUGGAGAAAAAGAUAAGCAUUGAAUUGAAUCAUCACAAAUUGUGGUACCGUCACCAUCGCCGGAACGCACGUGCGCUUCGUGGAAGACAAUCUUUCACAAAAGGAAAGCACGGAUGCUAUGAUGCGGCUAAUAUUGAAAUCAAAGGACGCAAAAGGCAGUGUGGACAGUAUGUUUUCUGACGAUCUAAUAUACCACUACAAUUUAGAGGGGCGCAAGGAGAAGGAAUCCUUACUAAAGCUAAAGCGCGUAGGGUUAGUUUUUGAAAUAUUUCCUGACAAGGACAAAAACACUAUCUGUGGGGAGCUCUGGAGAUUUGUGACCUUAAGCCACAAUCGUUUUUAACAAAAAAACAUAAACUUAAGGCUAAAUUAAUAUAAAUUUUCUUAUUAUUAAUUACAUAUACAUAUAUAUUAGCUUUAAGUGGUAAAUAUUAGUUUUAAGUUGAACAUUAGUUCUAAGUUGUACUGAAAUAACCUUAAUCUUAUGUUUAAGUAAAUGUUUAUUAUUAAAUAAAACGAAAUA
Molecule: long non-coding RNA, 648 nt
Organism: Bactrocera dorsalis (oriental fruit fly)
Lineage: Eukaryota; Metazoa; Arthropoda; Insecta; Diptera; Tephritidae
Exons: 4
Source: RefSeq, a predicted model, not a curated record